RNAcentral lists this ribosomal RNA (444 nucleotides) under uncultured Alphaproteobacteria bacterium. RNAcentral describes it as "bacterial SSU rRNA". It matches the Rfam family "Bacterial small subunit ribosomal RNA", at positions 343 to 804 of the family's 1533-position model. Lineage: Bacteria; Pseudomonadati; Pseudomonadota; Alphaproteobacteria. The record is from RNAcentral.
GGGAGGCAGCAGUGGGGAAUCUUGGACAAUGGGCGCAAGCCUGAUCCAGCCAUGCCGCGUGAGUGAUGAAGGCCCUAGGGUUGUAAAGCUCUUUCGCCAGGGAAGAUAAUGACGGUACCUGGAUAAGAAGCCCCGGCUAACUCCGUGCCAGCAGCCGCGGUAAUACGGAGGGGGCUAGCGUUGUUCGGAAUUACUGGGCGUAAAGCGCACGUAGGCGGCUAUCCAAGUUGGGGGUGAAAUCCCUGGGCUUAACCCAGGAACUGCCUUCAAAACUGGAUGGCUAGAGUCCGAGAGAGGUGAGUGGAAUUUCUAGUGUAGAGGUGAAAUUCGUAGAUAUUGGAAAGAACACCAGUGGCGAAGGCGGCUCACUGGCUCGGUACUGACGCUGAGGUGCGACAGCGUGGGGAGCAAACAGGAUUAGAUACCCGAGUAGUCCAAGCCGAA